AUUGAACGCUGGCGGCAUGCUUUACACAUGCAAGUCGAACGGUAACAGGCCUUCGGGUGCUGACGAGUGGCGAACGGGUGAGUAAUGCAUCGGAACGUACCCAGAGGUGGGGGAUAACGCAGCGAAAGCUGUGCUAAUACCGCAUGUGAUCUGAGGAUGAAAGCGGGGGACCGAGCAGCAAUGUUUGGCCUCGCGCCUUUGGAGCGGCCGAUGUCGGAUUAGCUAGUUGGUGGGGUAAAGGCAUACCAAGGCGACGAUCCGUAGCUGGUCUGAGAGGACGACCAGCCACACUGGGACUGAGACACGGCCCAGACUCCUACGGGAGGCAGCAGUGGGGAAUUUUGGACAAUGGGCGCAAGCCUGAUCCAGCAAUGCCGCGUGCGGGAAGAAGGCCUUCGGGUUGUAAACCGCUUUUGGCAGGAACGAAACGGUGUCCGCUAAUACCGGGCGCUAAUGACGGUACCUGCAGAAUAAGCACCGGCUAACUACGUG
Molecule: ribosomal RNA, 492 nt
Filed under: uncultured bacterium
Lineage: Bacteria
Description: partial 16S ribosomal RNA
Rfam family: Bacterial small subunit ribosomal RNA
Source: RNAcentral